GAUGAAGAACGCAGCGAAAUGCGAUAAGUAACGUGAAUUGCAGAAUUCAGUGAAUCAUCGAAUCUUUGAACGCACAUUGCGCCCGCCAGUAUUCUGGCGGGCAUGCCUGUUCGAGCGUCAUUUCAACCAUCAAGCCCCCGGCUUGUGUUGGGGACCUGCGGCUGCCGCAGGCCCUGAAAUGCAGUGGCGGGCUCGCUGUCACUCCGAGCGUAGUAGUUACAUCUCGCUCUGGGCGUGCUGCGGGUUCCGGCCGUUAAAAGCCUUAUUUACCCAAGGUUGACCUCGGAUCAGGUAGGAAGACCCGCUGAACUUAAGCAUAUCAAUAAGCGGAGGA
This 334-nucleotide unclassified non-coding RNA is filed under the name soil metagenome. RNAcentral's name for it is "partial contains 5.8S ribosomal RNA, internal transcribed spacer 2, and large subunit ribosomal RNA". The stretch from base 1 to 120 matches the Rfam family "5.8S ribosomal RNA", at positions 35 to 154 of the family's 154-position model. The record is from RNAcentral.